Long non-coding RNA from Spinacia oleracea (spinach), 3789 nucleotides. RefSeq lists it as uncharacterized. The transcript is spliced from 2 exons. Lineage: Eukaryota; Viridiplantae; Streptophyta; Magnoliopsida; Caryophyllales; Amaranthaceae. The record is from RefSeq and is a predicted model, not a curated record.
CGGCCAUUGGCCGACUACAUUUUCCGACCACAAGAAAAGUAGUCGGAAAAUAUUUAAUAUACCGACUAAAUAUUAUUUGGUCGCUAAAUAUAUAUUUUGCCGACUACUUAAAAGUGGUCGGAAAAUUACGACUACCUAGCAGAUAAUUAGCGACUAAAAUGUGGUCGUGAAUUAAUUCAACCAAAUACCUAAACCCAAAAACCUUACCUACGACUUUUACAGACCAAAGGUAGUCGGAAUAUACCGACUAUUUUCACACUGGUCGCUAAAUUAGUGUUUUGCGACUAAAUUAUUUUGGUCGGUAUUUACCUACUACCUUUUGUAGUCGGAAAAGGUGUGGACAAAAAAAAAAACCUGAACAAAUCUUGUAAAACCCCUUUUUGGUCGGAAACUUCAAAACCCAUAACUCUACCAAAACCCAUUACUCGACCAACUAAAAAACAAAUCAUAAAAACCUAAGAUCUGGAAUAGACCAACCAUCGUCGAUUAAUUCACGUCAACCAACCAUCGUCGCCGGCCACCCACCCACCAUCGCCGGCGACCCCACGACACAACCACCGCACGACACCCGAUCGACAGGCAGCCCAAAUUCACCAAGCAACCACCGCAGACGACGCGACGCUGGCCACCCAUUAGACGACGCGACGCUGGCCACAUUCAUCAACCACCAAAGACGCGAGGCAGGCAACCACCACCUUCAUCAACCACCACCGACGCGACGCAGGCGACUCUUCAGACCACAUAUCUAGUUGCUCAAGAACCUGGUGAUGAAAAUAUACUACGAACACGUACAUAUGAUGUCAGCAUAACGUAAGAUACAAUCCCUAUUAUUAGUUUUUUGAAUCUCUGUUAGUAGUUGUUCAUUUGAUAUUUCAUGAUGAAUUAAUUAUCUGCACUAUUUUGAAAGCCUCAAACUCAGUAAGUAAAUUUUUAUAACUACUCAUAUAAAUCAUGUAAAAGGUUUAGAUUUUGAAUAUAGGAUCGUUUGUUGAUAGUUGGGAACGAAAAUGACAUUUUAAGGCAUAAAUGACCCAUAACGACCCAAAUGACCCUUAGGCGUCCAAAACGAACUUGAAAUGAGUUUUAUAAACACGUAACCACUCAUAUAAAUCAUGUAAAAGGUUAGAUUUUGAAUAUAGGAUCGUUUGUUGAUAGUUGGGAACGAAAAUGACAUUUUUAGGAAUAAAAUGACCCAUAACGACCCAAAUGACCCUUAGGCGUCCAAAACGAACUUGAAAUGAGUUUUAUAAACACGUAACCACUCAUAUAAAUCAUGUAAAAGGUUUAGAUUUUGAAUAUAGGAUCGUUUGUUGAUAGUUGGGAACGAAAAUGACAUUUUUAGGCAUAAAUGACCCAUAACGACCCAAAUGACCCUUAGGCGUCCAAAACGAACUUGAAAUGAGUUUCAAAAACAUGUAACUACAAAUAUGAAUCAUGUAAAAGGUUUAGAUUUUGAAUAUAGGUUCGUUUGUUGAUAGUUGGGAACGAAAAUGACAUUUUUAGGCAUAAAAUGACCCAUAACGACGCAAAUGACCCUUAGGAGUGCAAAACGAACUUGAAAUGAGUUUCAUAAACACGUAACCACUCAUAUAAAUCAUGUAAAAGGUUAGAUUUUGAAUAUAGGAUCGUUUGUUGAUAGUUGGGAACGAAAAUGACAUUUUCAGGAAUAAAAUGACCCAUAACGACCCAAAUGACCCUUAGGAGUGCAAAACGAACUUGAAAUGAGUUUCAUAAACACGUAACCACUCAUAUAAAUCAUGAAUAAGGUUUAGAUUUUGAAUAUAGGUUCGUUUGUUGAUAGUUGGGAACGAAAAUAGCAUUUUUAGGCAUAAAUGACCCAUAACGACCCAAAUGACCCUUAGGCGUCCAAAACGAACUUGAAAUGAGUUUCAAAAACAUGUAACUACAAAUAUGAAUCAUGUAAAAGGUUUAGAUUUUGAAUAUAGGUUCGUUUGUUGAUAGUUGGGAACGAAAAUGACUUUUUUAGGCAUAAAAUGACCCAUAACGACCCAAAUGACCCUUAGGAGUGCAAAACGAACUUGAAAUGAGUUUCAUAAACACGUAACCACUCAUAUAAAUCAUGAAUAAGGUUUAGAUUUUGAAUAUAGGAUCGUUUGUUGAUAGUUGGGAACGAAAAUGACAUUUUUAGGCAUAAAUGACCCAUAACGACCCAAAUGACCCUUAGGCGUCCAACACGAACUUGAAAUGAGUUUUAUAAACACGUAACCACUCAUAUAAAUCAUGUAAAAGGUUUAGAUUUUGAAUAUAGGAUCGUUUGUUGAUAGUUGGGAACGAAAAUGACAUUUUAAGGCAUAAAUGACCCAUAACGACCCAAAUGACCCUUAGGCGUCCAAAACGAACUUGAAAUGAGUUUUAUAAACACGUAACCACUCAUAUAAAUCAUGUAAAAGGUUAGAUUUUGAAUAUAGGAUCGUUUGUUGAUAGUUGGGAACGAAAAUGACAUUUUUAGGAAUAAAAUGACCCAUAACGACCCAAAUGACCCUUAGGCGUCCAAAACGAACUUGAAAUGAGUUUUAUAAACACGUAACCACUCAUAUAAAUCAUGUAAAAGGUUUAGAUUUUGAAUAUAGGAUCGUUUGUUGAUAGUUGGGAACGAAAAUGACAUUUUUAGGCAUAAAUGACCCAUAACGACCCAAAUGACCCUUAGGCGUCCAAAACGAACUUGAAAUGAGUUUCAAAAACAUGUAACUACAAAUAUGAAUCAUGUAAAAGGUUUAGAUUUUGAAUAUAGGUUCGUUUGUUGAUAGUUGGGAACGAAAAUGACAUUUUUAGGCAUAAAAUGACCCAUAACGACGCAAAUGACCCUUAGGAGUGCAAAACGAACUUGAAAUGAGUUUCAUAAACACGUAACCACUCAUAUAAAUCAUGAAUAAGGUUUAGAUUUUGAAUAUAGGUUCGUUUGUUGAUAGUUGGGAACGAAAAUAGCAUUUUUAGGCAUAAAUGACCCAUAACGACCCAAAUGACCCUUAGGCGUCCAAAACGAACUUGAAAUGAGUUUCAUAAACAUGUAACUACAAAUAUGAAUCAUGUAAAAGGUUUAGAUUUUGAAUAUAGGUUCGUUUGUUGAUUGAAUGCUUAUGAAGUGUUGUGCGUAAUUGUUAUGCAUGUUUGUUAAUCAUUUCAAUUCUUGUAGGAAACAUAUGAAAAGACUGUUGCUGAAUGCCGUGAAAAAGGCAUUGAAAAGGAUCCAAAUCAAAUAUUUUUUGAGACAGUUGGUGGGAGAAAGAAGGGAAAGGUCCAUGGCUUGGGGAGUGGCUCACAUUUGUAUUAUGCACCACCUUCGAGGGGAGGUGGUUCUUCUAGCUCAUACAUACCUUCCCUUUAUUCGCAAUUUCAAGAACAAUUUACUCAAAAGACCCAAGCGUUGGAGGCGACACAAGCUCAGAUACUAAGGGAGAGAGAAGAAGAGAGACUUGAGCGACAAAGGGAGAAGGAAGAGCUACAAAGGGAGAAGGAAGAGCUACAAAGGCAGAGAGAUGCAGAGCGACUAGAGCGCCAAAGGGAAAAAGAAGAAAAAGAAGAAAAUGAUAGGGUCCAAGCAAAGGUGAUUGCCGAGUUGAAAGAGGCAAUGGAGAACUAUGGAAGGAUGUUCAGUCAGUGUAGUCAAUUUCAGUCUCAGGACCGUCAAGAUCCCCCGAUGGAGGGGCAGGGCUAGAUUUUCAGUAGAUCGUGUUUUGAAUAUUGUGGUCGCCUACGGGCUAGAUUUUCAAACAUAUUUUGUAUAUAUUUAUGUAUUAACUCGUAGUAAUGCAUUAUAUAUUUCUAUCA